AAGGUGAACAGCCAUUUUGUUAGCUAGCUUUGAGGUUAGAGAGGGUAGCCGCUGUGGUCUGACGGCUUUGUGCUUAAAUUUCGUAGAUUAAGAUAACUUGUCGAUGUUUUUAUUUAGGUACAAUUUUCGGCCACACUCUCACAGACAAGAGCGAGACUCGUGUGUUUGCUGACACAGCGCUAAACUAAAUGGUCAUUCAUUUUUGAAGCUGCCUUGAGUUUGCUAGCUUGUUAGCACGGCUGGCUAACUUGUUUACGCGUGCCGCCAGAGGGAAAGAAAAUACUCCGCUCUCAUGGCCGCCAGCUAUUAAAUGUUCGAGAGUUGUGAAGUGCGUAUUUCAUACAGUUUGUCUGUCUGCGUUUGAACGCUCUUGUAUUUCAGUCACUCUGCCCAGUUAGCAGAAGUAAACUUGAGCGAGCGUCGACGUUACAAACUCGUGUGCAUCAUCCUAGUGUUUACUAAUAACUUGAGCCCCAUCAGCUGAUUCCUCCUGGACCAGCGCUCAGCCUCUCUGAGACCAUGUCGGAGCUGUACAUCCGUGUGGCCGAGGAUGAAAACGAGGAGCCCAUGGAGAUCCCCUCGGAGGACGAUGGGACUGUGUUGCUGUCGUCGGUAGCAGCUCAGUUUCCAGGGGCGUGCGGGCUGCGGUACAGGAACCCGGAGUCCCAGUGCAUGAGGGGAGUCAGGCUUGUAGAGGGUGUCCUGCAUGCACCCGAGAAUGACUGGGGAAACCUGGUGUACGUCGUCAACUAUCCCAAAGAUAACAAAAGGAAGAUGGAUGAAAUAGAUGCUGCCUCAGCUGUGAAAAUCAAGAGGGGCUUUCAGAAGACAUCAGAUCUCAUUGUCCUCGGGCUGCCAUGGAAAACAACAGAACAAGACCUGAAAGAUUAUUUCAGUACCUUUGGGGAGGUCAUCAUGGUGCAGGUUAAGAGAGAUGCAAAAACUGGAAACUCAAAAGGUUUUGGGUUUGUCCGGUUCACUGACUAUGAGACGCAAACUAAAGUUAUCGCUCAGAGACACAUGAUUGAUGGUCGAUGGUGUGAUUGCAAACUUCCUAACUCAAAGGCGUGUCCUGAUGAGCCAAUGCGGAGCCGUAAAAUCUUUGUUGGCCGCUGCACAGAGGACAUGACAACUGAUGACUUGAGGCAGUACUUCAUGCAGUAUGGUGAAGUCACUGAUGUCUUCAUUCCCAAACCUUUCCGGGCGUUUGCAUUUGUCACAUUUGCUGAUGACCAGGUCGCCCAAGCCCUGUGUGGAGAGGACCUGAUCAUCAAGGGUGUCAGCGUGCACAUCUCCAAUGCUGAGCCCAAACACAAUAAUAGUAGGCAAAUGAUGGAUCGAGGGCGGUUUGGGGCUGGUGGGUUCAGUCAGGGCUAUGGCAGUAAUCGCGGUGGGCUGGGCAGCGGUAGCAGUGGGGUUAACUUUGGGGCUCUCGGUCUUAACCCGGCAAUGGUGGCAGCUGCCCAGGCAGCUCUGCAGAGCAGUUGGGGAAUGAUGGGCAUGCUGGCUAACCAGCAAGGUCUGACCACAACGGCAGGCACAGCCACUACAACCCGAGACCAGACCUAUAGCUCUGCCAGCACCAGUUACAGCAGCCCCAGCUCAGCUAGCCUCGGCUGGGCUGCAGGCACUAACACCGCCUCCAACAGUGGCUUCAGCUCCAGCUUUGGCACGCCUAUGGAGUCUAAGUCAUCUAGUUGGGGAAUGUAGAUAGCUUUGCGUUGACCUUUUUUUGUUGCUAUUAGGCUAAUCUGGUAAGUAUACCUACAGGGGGGAACUGCUUAUAUCUUUUUUCCAAUUAUUUAAAAAUACACUGCCUUUUAUUUUGGUAAAGAGAAAAUUUGUACUUGCAUGUGACUGAUGAUGUAGUCAUGCACUGAAUGGGUGAAAAUUUUAGUUUGUUAGGUCAAACUGCCACACUACCUUUUUUUGUUUUUGAGAAAAUGUUACACGGAGAUGAUUGUGCAUGCAAGAUAAAUAUUUAUAAACAUGCACGAGUAUCUCGAGAGCUCCUCAGCCCCUUGAAAAAUGGGCUUGGUAUAAUUAUCUAUCUGUAAGCAGUUAAUUGCAUCUUUUUGUUUGUUUUUUGUUUGACAUCUUUUGGAAACGCCUUCAUGAAAAUCUCUUCUGCAGUUCACCAACUCUUUCCCAAUUUCCCGGGAGGAAGCGCCACAUUGGCAGCAAUGUUCGACAGAUCUCAGUAUCAGUUCCCCUCUUCCCAUGUGUAAAUGCUUUGUCAUCAAAGAACACAGCUUCACUCUGCAUAUACUGUGUUAGACGGUGGGUGUUCUUUUUUCCUCUCCCCUUUUUUAUGGAUAUAGAAAUCUUGUCUGCUCUUGUCGCUUUUCAAGAUCAGUGAGUGGGAUUGAUGUACCGAGUGAGAGUGAGCGAACGGGAGAGCAAAAUGAAAGAAAGCAAGUGUGAGAAGGACUGUUUGUGCAAAGUUUUUUUUUUUUUCUUAAGAGACAAAUGCCUGCGAGAGUUGAGAAGAACCUGUGGCUUUGUGCGAGUGUGAGAGGAAGAAGCAAGUACGAGUGUGUCCCUAAUGGCCAUCACAAGGACAUUUAUUGCAUCUCGAGAUCCCUAGGGACCUCGGACACGGACAGCCCAGGUUUUCGUCUGAAUCCAGGUUGGAGUGAGUUAUGGAGGAGCUGAAGCCAUUGGUGGGUGGGCCGGUGCAAACCAACAAUGGAAUUGCUGCAUCGACUGCCCAAAUCCUGAAAAGGAACUUCUUCACCUCACUAGCAAGAAACCUUGGACCAUCCAAAUGAAAUUUAGAGUGGACCAUACCCAAUUGGCCUGAGCAGGGUGAGAAGGUCUUCCAGAAGAAGCUCUUGCAUGGUGUUCUGUCCCGGGAGAAGAUGUGGUUUCUGAGGGUCCCCUCCGGCAGCUUCUUACUGAGGAUCAAAGCUCUGACACGGAGGAGUCAAACGAGGAGGUCUUUGAAUUAUUCCCACAGCUAUCUCAGCACAGGUGCACUGAGCAGCUGAUGAUGCAGCUGAGAAUCCCCUGACAAGAUUCAGAGAGCGCAGCAGGGAGUGCAGUGUUAAAAUGAGUAAGGUUUUUAUUUUGUUUCUUGAAAACAUGCUCCUUGAGAUUCUAGUCUCUCUACGCCUGAAUUGACCUUCAUCAAUGUGAGGGUGUUUACUGGCUGAUUUAUUUACCUUCGUCUGUCAAAAUUGUUAAGUUUAUACAUUUAUUCUCACUGAUUCCCAACCUUUUUAACUGGUUUUACCCCAAGACAUGAAGCACUGUCUUUUCUUUUUAAGUAUUUUUGGGGGUAUUAGGCAACAGCAGAGCAGUGACAGGAAAUGAGGACAGAGAGAUAUUGGCAUUGACAUGCAACACAAGUCUCCGGUCAGAUUUGAAAAAAGCAGUGUUGCGCUACAUGGUCAGGCACCUUAGUCUAAAGGCCACCAGGGUGUCUCAUUAAGCUGUAUCUGCUUGUGAUCCUUCAUCGCAGUUUGAAUGUGUCAAUGAGUUGCGAGCAUUUUAACCAGACUGACUUUUUUUUUGUAAAGCUCAUAUAAAGGUAACAAGAUCCACCAUAUAUAGACAUUUUUUGUCUUCCAUUACCCAUCAGUAAAAUCAGAGUUGAAUCAAUGUGUCUCUGGGUGAUGUCAAAUUCACUACUUAUGUGAAAUUCUUGACACUGUGCCAGAGACUUUCUUGAAUUUCUUGUUGCAGAGCCACUGUAUUGUAUUAUGCAUUAUAUUGAAUGUAUCUUCAUGUUAGUGUGUCCUCCCCUUUUAUCUUGUUCUUACAAGACCAAAACAGUGAGGGGUUUGUCAUUGUAUUUACAUUAGUCUUUAGUUUUAUUCUAAGGGAUUACUGUUACCCUGUAUCAAGAAACAUGUGUCAGGAUCUCAGGGCCACCUGCUGGACAACCACUGUAACGAAUGAAGAGACAGUACAAAGUUCUCUCUUUGACCAGUAGUUUAAGCUAAUUAGUACUUCCAUCAAGGGGCGGAUGUUUGCAGUCUUUUGCAAUUUAUCAAAAUUUCUGAUUCUGCAAGAUAUAUUUGAAUAUUUCACUGUUUUCUGACAAGCCACUGUAAUUACACUCAGUUGUCAGCUUAGUUGGAGCACCUAGCUAAAACUAAUGCAGUCCUCAUGAAAGUUGUAAUGUUCAGUUUUUACUGAAAUGGUUUCAGUGAUGGGUUGAUUAAGCUUAAUGAUCAUUUUGGAGGCUGCAGUUUGUGGUGUGUCUGUCGUCUAACCUCUCCUUAUCAAUUUGAAUGCGGUGGACAAAAUGGGACUGUGUACCCUCAGUGGAGUUUCUGCACUUUCCAGCUUGUAUUAUGAUGUUGUUAUAUGACUAUUCACUGUAUAUAUAUCCAUAAUUGACAUGCACUGAAAAUUCCAGUGGCUCAAAGUGUUUAUCUUCCACCAGACAGGUCUUUUAAACCAUAUAUCCUAUUUAUAGAUCAGGCAGCUUAUGUCACUUGUUGCCAAUACAAAUCCUGUUUACAGAAGCCAGAGAGUAAGGACCAUACAAGCUAAUUAUAAAGGGAUUGAAAUCUUUAUUUAGCCUAAUACAGUACAGUGCAACGGUUCACCUUAAUCCAGUGUUAACACCGUGAACCUUGGGCCCAACAUGACAGGUGAACAUUAGCCUGAUAGCCAGCAUAAUAUCCAUAGUAUCAAGAUGGAGUAAACACUUUGUUGCUUCCCCUCUUGUCACUGUGGUAAGAGUUGCUACACACACAGAGGAAGAGUUUACAAUACACAUAAUCUAUGAUUCCACUUCAUGAUAAAUAAAA
Lates calcarifer (barramundi perch) is the source of this 4763-nucleotide RNA transcript. It is a transcript of the gene named TAR DNA binding protein a, with no coding region annotated. The record is from RefSeq and is a predicted model, not a curated record. Lineage: Eukaryota; Metazoa; Chordata; Actinopteri; Centropomidae. The transcript has 9 exons.